GGCCUAACACAUGCACGUCGAGCGGAUGAGUGGAGCUUGCUCCAUGAUUCAGCGGCGGACGGGUGAGUAAUGCCUAGGAAUCUGCCUGGUAGUGGGGGACAACGUUUCGAAAGGAACGCUAAUACCGCAUACGUCCUACGGGAGAAAGUGGGGGAUCUUCGGACCUCACGCUAUCAGAUGAGCCUAGGUCGGAUUAGCUAGUUGGUGAGGUAAAGGCUCACCAAGGCGACGAUCCGUAACUGGUCUGAGAGGAUGAUCAGUCACACUGGAACUGAGACACGGUCCAGACUCCUACGGGAGGCAGCAGUGGGGAAUAUUGGACAAUGGGCGAAAGCCUGAUCCAGCCAUGCCGCGUGUGUGAAGAAGGUCUUCGGAUUGUAAAGCACUUUAAGUUGGGAGGAAGGGCAGUAAGUUAAUACCUUGCUGUUUUGACGUUACCAACAGAAUAAGCACCGGCUAACUUCGUGCCAGCAGCCGCGGUAAUACGAAGGGUGCAAGCGUUAAUCGGAAUUACUGGGCGUAAAGCGCGCGUAGGUGGUUCGUUAAGUUGGAUGUGAAAGCCCCGGGCUCAACCUGGGAACUGCAUCCAAAACUGGCGAGCUAGAGUAUGGCAGAAGGUGGGUGGAAUUUCCUGUGUAGCGGUGAAAUGCGUAAAUAUNGGAAGGACACCAUUGGCUAAGGGCGACCACCUGGGCUAAUACUGACACUGAGGUGCUGAAAGCAUGGGGGAGCCAACCGGNUUAGAUACCCUGGGUUNNUCCCGCCUUAACCNAUUCCNCUAGCCGUUGGGAUCCUUUGAGAUCUUAUUGCGCAGCUAACCCAAUAAGUCCGACGCCUGGGGAAGUAUCGGCCACAAGGUUAAA
Molecule: ribosomal RNA, 863 nt
Filed under: Pseudomonas sp. enrichment culture clone SJC1
Lineage: Bacteria; Pseudomonadati; Pseudomonadota; Gammaproteobacteria; Pseudomonadales; Pseudomonadaceae
Description: bacterial SSU rRNA
Rfam family: Bacterial small subunit ribosomal RNA
Source: RNAcentral